CCGUAAUCGGAAUGAGUACACUUUAAAUCCUUUAACAAGGAUCCAUUGGAGGGCAAGUCUGGUGCCAGCAGCCGCGGUAAUUCCAGCUCCAAUAGCGUAUAUUAAAGUUGUUGCGGUUAAAAAGCUCGUAGUUGGUUCUGCGUGCCGCGCUGUCGGUUCGCCGCCUGUCGGUGUAACUGGCAUGUCGCGGCAUGUCCUGUCGGUGGUGAACGGGGUCCACAAUGCUGCAAAGGCUUUUAUAGCCGAUGUUAGCGUCGUGUGCACUUCCGUUGGCCGAUCUCUCCUACUUCGGUGCUCUUAAACGAGUGUCGAGGUAGGCCGACACGUUCACUUUGAACAAAUUAGAGUGCUUAAAGCAGGCUGAAAUAUCUGCCUGAAUAGUGGUGCAUGGAAUGAUAAAACAGGACCUCGGUUCUAUUUUGUUGGUUUUAGGAAUAUGAGGUAAUGAUCAAUGUGGACUGGCGGGGGCAUUCGUAUUGCGACGUUAGAGGUGAAAUUCUUGGAUCGUCGCAAGACGCACUAGAGCGAAAGCAUUUGCCAAGUAUGUCUUAAUUGAUCAAGAACGAAAGUUAGAGGUUCGAAGGCGAUCAGAUACCGCCCUAGUUCUAACCAUAAACGAUGCCAGCCAGCGAUCCGCCGAUGUUCCUUUAAUGACUCGGCGGGGAGCUUCUACCCGGGAAACCAAAGCUUUUGGGUUCCGGGGGAAGUAUGGUUGCAAAGCUGAAACU
Molecule: ribosomal RNA, 728 nt
Filed under: Opisthacidius sp. 00052199
Lineage: Eukaryota; Metazoa; Arthropoda; Insecta; Hemiptera; Reduviidae
Also listed under: 1 other name
Description: SSU rRNA
Rfam family: Eukaryotic small subunit ribosomal RNA
Source: RNAcentral